RNAcentral lists this ribosomal RNA (464 nucleotides) under Vreelandella stevensii. RNAcentral describes it as "partial 16S ribosomal RNA". It matches the Rfam family "Bacterial small subunit ribosomal RNA", at positions 338 to 795 of the family's 1533-position model. The record is from RNAcentral. Lineage: Bacteria; Pseudomonadati; Pseudomonadota; Gammaproteobacteria; Oceanospirillales; Halomonadaceae.
CCUACGGGUGGCAGCAGUGGGGAAUAUUGGACAAUGGGCGAAAGCCUGAUCCAGCCAUGCCGCGUGUGUGAAGAAGGCCUUCGGGUUGUAAAGCACUUUCAGUGGGGAAGAAAGCCUUGGGGCUAAUACCCUCGAGGAAGGACAUCACCCACAGAAGAAGCACCGGCUAACUCCGUGCCAGCAGCCGCGGUAAUACGGAGGGUGCGAGCGUUAAUCGGAAUUACUGGGCGUAAAGCGCGCGUAGGCGGUCUGAUAAGCCGGUUGUGAAAGCCCCGGGCUCAACCUGGGAACGGCAUCCGGAACUGUCCGGCUAGGGUGCAGGAGAGGAAGGUAGAAUUCCCGGUGUAGCGGUAAAAUGCGUAGAGAUCGGGAGGAAUACCAGUGGCGAAGGCGGCCUUCUGGACUGACACUGACGCUGAGGUGCGAAAGCGUGGGUAGCAAACGGGAUUGGAUACCCCAGUGUC